UUUGGUGUCAGCCUUUGAAGUCCCA
This 25-nucleotide unclassified non-coding RNA is filed under the name Mus musculus (house mouse). RNAcentral's name for it is "oocyte_clustered_small_RNA6979". Lineage: Eukaryota; Metazoa; Chordata; Mammalia; Rodentia; Muridae. The record is from RNAcentral.